RNAcentral lists this long non-coding RNA (350 nucleotides) under Equus caballus (horse). Its description in RNAcentral is "lncRNA (ENSECAG00000049175.1)". Lineage: Eukaryota; Metazoa; Chordata; Mammalia; Perissodactyla; Equidae. The record is from RNAcentral.
AAUAGCUCUGGCCAGAUUUCCUGUACAUUGCUGAACAGUAGCAGUGAAAAUCGGCAUUCUGGUCUUUUCCUGAUGUUAUAGAAUGGUUGGUUUAAGAAUGAUCAUGUGACUCAAAACUAUGAAGGAAAUUUCUUGGAGGAGGCUGUUGGUGAAUGUUGUACUUCUUAGUUGCCUUGUUCCUGCAUUGUCAGUAGAUUUGAUGCUUGGAACUGCAACAGUCUUCUUGCUGUGACACUUAGGAUGAAGCCAACAUGUGAAGGAGGACAGAACCAAAAAAUGCAGAGACAUGAAUCUCAACCUGUGCCAUGCCAUUAUUGGAGCAGUUCUGUUUCCAGGCUUCUUGUUUGGGA